This 70-nucleotide transfer RNA is filed under the name Loxodonta africana (African savanna elephant). It matches the Rfam family "tRNA". Rfam says of the family: Transfer RNA (tRNA) molecules are approximately 80 nucleotides in length. Their secondary structure includes four short double-helical elements and three loops (D, anti-codon, and T loops). Lineage: Eukaryota; Metazoa; Chordata; Mammalia; Proboscidea; Elephantidae. The record is from Rfam by way of RNAcentral.
GCAGUGGUGGUUCAUAGUAGAAUUCUUGGCUUCCAUGCAGGACACCCAGGUUCGAUUCCCAGCCAAUGCA